AACAAGUCUCACAAGUAACAACACUGGUUCUGCAUUUGGUGCUUCAUUGUCGCCUCCAGAUCCAACUAACUGCGUUCAACCGGACCCAGAAAAAGACCCUUUUUGCCCACCACCCCCCUUCAAAGACUACGAGCUCCCUCCACACGAUGACAAGACAUUACCCCUUCGAAUUAGACCAGCUGCUCAUUUGGUCACUGAUGAUUACAUAGCCAAGUACGAGGAAGCCGUGAGGCGCAUGCAAGACCUUCCACCUGAUGAUCCUCGCAGUUUCAUGCAACAGGCCAAUGUCCACCGUGCCUACUGCGAUGGUCGCGGCUAUACUCAAAAGGGCUUCGCUGACUACAAGCUUGACGUUCACGGCUCCUGGAUAUUCUUUCCUUGGCACCGCUGGUAUCUCUAUUUCUAUGAGAAAAUCUUGGGGAAGAUGAUCGGUGACCCCACUUUCGCUCUUCCGUUUUGGAACUGGGACAAUCCCGCCGGCAUGAGAAUCCCUCCCAUUUUCACAGACAAAAGUUCGCCUCUCUACGACGAACACAGGAAUAGCGAUCAUGUAAAUGCUUUCAUCGACCUAGACUACAAGAAGGACGAUUCUCCUGUGAAACCUCCUCAAACAAUUUUAUGGCCGCCAGUGGAGAAAAAGAAUAACUCGAUCGUCGACAACUUGAUCGUCAACAACUUGAUAAAAGUUUAUACGGCAGUUGCAAGCAAAACCAACUCAAGCCCAGACUACUUCCUCGGGCCAGCAUUCGAAGCUGGUUCUGCACCUCAGCAACACUUUGGAUCUCUGGAAUCUUUGCACAAUACUGUCCACAGCUGGACCGGUGAAAGAGAAAACAAUCACCACGACAUGGGGUUGUUGGCUACGGCUGCAAAAGAUCCCAUUUUCUUUGCUCACCAUUCAAACGUCGAUAGGAUGUGGAACAUAUGGAAGACAGAAUUGCUGGAUGGAAGAAGAUUUGAUCACAAAAGUGACGACUGGUUGGAAUCCAGUUUCUUCUUCUACGACGAGAACAAGAACUAUGUGCGUGUGAAGGUCAAAGACUGCCUCGACUCCAAGAAGAUGGGGUAUGAUUACCAACGUGUUGACCUUCCAUGGCUGUUGGCUGGGGAACUCAUCAAACCAAAGAAGGAGAUUAUUCUCCUUCGUUCAAAACCAGAAGCUUCAACAUUCAAGACAUUACAGCUCCCUCUCCCUCUGGAAUCCAUUGAGCGUACAAACGUGAAGAGGCCGAAGCCGCGAUCCAGGAACGAGAAUGAAGAAGAAGAAGAAGGCGUAGAAGAGGUGUUAGUGAUAGAUGUUGAGUACGAUAGCACUGAUGGUGUGAGGUUUGAUGUGUUCAUCAACGACCAAGGCGACAAUGAGAUUGGACCCCAGGAUUCAGAGUUUGCGGGAAGCUUUGUGACUUUGCCUCACUCGCCGCAUGUCAACCAUAACAACAUCACCAAAGCUUCUUUCAAAUUGCCAUUAACGUAUAAGUUGAAAGACUUGGGAGUAACAAAAGACGAUGAUAGUAUUUCUGUCACACUGGCUCCCAUAUAUGGGGACAAGCCUGUUACAAUUAAGGACGUAAGGAUAAAGCGUGUUUAUCCUGAGGUGGACGAUGAAUAAAUCUAAAUUAUGUGUGUGCUACUGCUAGGGUUUGUUCCUCCAAGGGAUACUCUAUCUGUCAUUUGUUGUUUCUUAAUUAGUGUGUUGUAGUUAUUUUCCUUGGAACUUAAUAGAUCCCUUUCAUCUGUGAGGGAUACUAUGUUAUUGUUAUAAUAAAUGUUUGUUUUAUUGUUACAUUUGUUUAUAAUACAAUAUAACUCCUAAUCUCCUUUUAAUUAAUAUAUAUUAAUUGAAAAGAAUGAAUGAAAAGAAUAGUUUAACUAUUAGUUAGCCAACCUAAGAAGAAAGAUAAUUUGGUUCAAAGAAAUGCUUUACCACCCAUGUUAGUGAAUAUGUUCACUUCUAUUGAUGAUUCUACAACUAUACAUACACUUGUAUGUUCAGUGCAGUUUUGCCUCUAGCUAGGUCGUGGUAUCAUACUUUUAGCUAUAUUGGUAUGUUAUGCCAAUUCCUCAGUAUUUAUACUCGUGUUUUUUCCAAUUCUUGUUUUAUAGCUCAGGUUUAAAUAAGAAAAGGAGAGUUUGCUUUCUUUUUUUGGGAAAAAUGUAAAUUAUAUUAAACCCAAAAUGAUACAAUAAUAAACGGAGCAUAUCCCGCAGUUAAAGAAAAUCAAAAGUCCCCCUUAUACAAGAAGACCUAUAUCAAGAUGCUAAAACAAAUGCAACAAGUGCGCUUGUCUAUACAUAAGAAACUUAAUCUUGCUAAUAACCUCUAUUACAUAAAAUUGAUAAUCUUUAAAAAUCAGCUUGUUCCUAGACAGCCAGAUGCAAUAGACUGUAAUUGUUAUAGCCAGACAACGUAAUUUUCCUUGAACACCUGAUGUGGAUCUGCCCCUAAUUAAAGAGUCAGUAAUGCGCUGUAAAGAAGUGAAACGUCUGUGGAAAGGAGCCAAAUCACGAAUGUGAUCCCAAACUUGAAGAGAUUUCCUGCAAGAAAAGAACAAAUGAGCAUUUGACUCAAUCUCAUUUGAACAUAAAGGGCAGAGGGAACCCUUGUUCAAAAAAGCAACUUUGUCAAGAGUAAGCAGCCGGUUCCUUUUAGCAAGUCACAGAAUGAAAGACAUCUUAGGGGGGAUUGCUGGGUUCCAUAUAACAGAACACCAACUAACAAUAGGCUUGACACCUCUAAUGUAUUCAUAGACUUUGCCAACAAGCAAUUGUUCAUUGGUGCUCCAAGAUUGAAUCCUCUUUUUGGCCUCUUCCGUACUUAGCUCUUUGGAGAUAAUAAAGUCCCUUAUUUGAAUGAUUUUCUUUAUCAAAACUGAAUCUGAUGAAGAAGUAUUGUAAUUCCACACAUCGCUCCUUCUGAAAUAGUAAUGGUGAACCCACCGAACUCAUAGAGAAUCUUUCUUACAAUGAAAGUCCCACAGGAUACGGGAAAGAAGCGCAAGGUUCUAGUCCUUGAGAUUAAAAAGGCCUAAACCCCCUUCUUUUUUCGGAGAACAAACUACUGACCAAGCAACCAAGGGCUUGUUUUUGCUAAUAUCCGCUUUGCCCCACAGAAAAUUACGACACGAAGCGUUGAUCCGGUCUAGAAUAGAUUGCGGCAAAGGAAAAAUCUCCAUCCAGAAAUUCACAAUUCCUUGAAUAACUACUCUGAUCAACUCUAACUUACCUGCAUAAGAUAAAGACUUCUUGCUCCAUCCCUGAAUCAGGCCAGUAAUCUUGGAAAGCAAGGGAGCAUAAUGACAUACAUUUAAUCUAGAUGAUAAAAGGGGAACACCCAAGUAUCUAAAAGGGAAGUCACCCAAGCUAAAUCCAGUAAGCUGCUGAAUAUGAGAAAGCUCAUGAGGCCUAAUACCGACUGAGUAUAUGACAGAUUUAUCAGAGCUGAUGAAAAGCCCUGAAACCCUACAGAAGUGAUGAAGUUUGGCAAACAUAGUUGACACAAAAGGGAUAUUUCCUUUAGAUAGAAGCAUAAUAUCAUCUGCAAAAGCCAAAUGAGAUAGUUGAAUACUUGCACAGUUGGGAUGAAAUUUAAAAUUGACAUCAUCCUUGAGGCUGCUCAUAUCUCUAGAAAAGUACUCCAAACAGAGCACAAACAGAUAAGGGGAGAGAGGAUCCCCUUGUCUAAGACCCCGCUGCCCUUUGAAGUGACCAUAAAUGGAUCCAUUGACUGCCACACUAAAGAAAGUGGAAGAAACACAUUCCAUGAUCCAAGUACAGAACUGGGCUGGGAAGCCAAUGGACUUAAGCAUCCAAUCCAAGAAUUUCCAGGAAAUGGAAUCAUAAGCUUUAUGCAAGUCAAUUUUUAGGAGGCAUCUCGGAGAGGAUCUUUUCCGGACAUAUUUGCGCAAAAUCUUUUGAACUAGGAAGAUGUUGUCCAUCAUCUUUCUGUUCUUAAUGAAAGCAGUUUGAGUUUUUCCAAUAAUAGUCUCAAGCACUGGGGCUAUGCGGUUGGCCAGAAUUUUAGAUACAAUCUUGUAUAACAAAUUACAGCAAGAUAUGGGUCUAAAAUGGUUAACCUGGGAGGCCUGAUCAUGCUUAGGAAUAAGCGCAAUAAUAGCAUGGUUGAGCUGCUUUAGAAUUUUUCCAGUUGUAAAGAAUUCAUUAACCGCUGCAAAGAUAUCAUCACCAAUGAUAUUCCAAGCCUUCUUGAAGAAUAAAACAUUGAAACCAUCUGGCCCAGGAGCUUUAUUGUUAUCCAUCACAGAAAUAACGUUCCAAACCUCUUGCUUAGAAGUAGGACAAAGUAAGGCCGCAAAACAAUCGGUGGGAACCUUAGGACCCCUGUUGCAAAUCGAAAUGGAAGGAGUUUGGGUCAGCUCAUGAGCACUAAACAAAUUCCUAAAGUGAUUCACAAAAGCAAGGCAAUUUCAUCUUGAUUGGUUGUGAGUGUGUAGUUUACUUGGAGGUAUUGAUGGUUAUUAAAUAUUUCUGGUUCAUAUCAUAAAUACUAACUAAUUAACCAUCACAGGCUGGCGAGGAUAGGAGGUUGUACAAAAUCUACCAGUUUUUUUUUUUGUACUAUACGGUAUUUCUUAUGCCCAUCAUAUGUUUAUAAAGUAUUUUUUUGCUGAAAAAAGGGUAUGCAAUUGAUAAUAUUAAUUUCUUAACCAAUCAAUUUAUAUGUCAUUUUUCUAUUAAUUUUUUCUUCAAAUUAGUAUUAGAUUAUUAUUUUUUAAAAUUUUAAAAUUGUAACUUUUUUAAAUUAGAUAAUAUGAUUAAAGACAACUUUGAAAGUCUGAAUCCUAAAAUUCUUUUAAUUACUUUUAACAUUUUUUUAUUUAUUUUUUAAAUGUAAGACCACAAUAUUCGUAUGAGUAUUCUUCUUCGUCCUUUUCUUUAACCUUAACCUUCUGUUUGGAUGAAGGAUUUAAAAAUUUAUAGGAAAUUCAAAUAUACAAUAUUUUAAUUGUCUUGAUUUAAAUUCCUUUCAUUUUAUAAAUAUUUUGUUUGGAUGAACUAAUUCAAUUUCAAUGAAAUUCAAAAUUUCAUUUUAAAAUAUUUAUUUAAAACUUAAAAUUUCAAUAUUAAAUAAAAAUAAAUAUAAUUCAUUUUUUAAAUAGUUAAUUAUUUAAAAUAAUUUUAAUGCUAGACAAUAUUUAAUAAUAAAAAAGUAAAUGAACUUCGACGCGGAGUUGAUAUUUAAUAAUAAAAAAGUAAAUGACCUUUAGUACCUCCUUCUUAAUCACCUCGUGGCCACGAUGACGAUUCUCCCUCCUCCAACCAUCGUUGUGCUCACACCCACCACAAACCAAGGUCGAUAUCUCCUCAUAGCAAAUCGUUGGAGCCAACACCGUGGUUUCAAAUCUGGUGCUUGUCAACGACUCUGUGGAACUCUUCAUCACCACCGCAAACAUUCAUCAUCUUUGUCGGAGCAACAACACCUCCCCACAUGGCUCCUGGUUCGCUUAAACAUGGGCUAGGGUUCAAGUGGUUCAACAUGAAGGUUCGGGAUGGUGGCAGCGUGAAAAGGUCGCCAACACCAUAGGAACACAAAACGUGUGAGAGAGAACAAAGGACUACCGUGUGAGAGGAGAGAAUUUGAAAUUCUUACCAAUUAGUUGGAAUUUCAAUUCCUACUAUUUUAGUCUAUUAAAAUUCUUUUAAAAAUUGAUGUAAAUUUAAAUUCUUUAAAAUCUUCUAUCCAAACAAUUAAAUUAUGAUAGGAGUAUUUCAAAUUCACUAAAAAAAUGAAUUGAUUUGUUUAAAUACUAUAUUCAAACACACUAUAAAGAUGUUUUUAUUAAUUUAUACAUAAUCGACUGUGCAUUAAUUACAUUAAAGGGGAGGACAAAAUUCACAGUUUUUAUAAUUUCUCAGGACGUAUAAAAAAAUUCUGACAACAAUUUUAAAACCAUUUUAUAAUUAACAUAGUGCAGAAAGAGAACAAAUGAACAACAAUACAGAGACUCGUUGAGCAGUAAUGUUGAUGGGAUCACCACAAAAAAAAAAAUUAAAUAUUAAUAUUUUCACAUAAACAAGGAAUGAUAUUGAUAUUUUUUUUUAUAAAAGAGUUAAAAGUAACUAAAAAUAUUUUAAGGUUCAAACUUUUAAAGUUAUCUUUAAUCAUAUUUUCUUAUUUAAGAAAGUUGCAAUUUAAAAAAUAAUAAUCACGGACUAAUUUGAAAAACAAAAAAAAUAAUUAAUGAGAAAAUUACAUGUAAUUUGAUUGGUAAAAAAAACUAAUAGUAUCAAAAUUCCCAAAAUUAUUAGAGACAUCAUAGAAACUCUAAAAGUAUAUUAAUCUUUGCCUUUUUCUUUUAACAAAAAAGACAUAAGUCAUAAUUAAAAAAAUAACAAAAUCUUCAUACAAAAGAAAGUCACAUAUUUAUAAAGUUCCAAACAACUACAAUAACAAACAAUGUAUUUAUGUUCAAGGAGUCAAAGUGACAUCAUCACAUUGAGACACUCUUAUUUGCUCUCCAUCCAUGAAAUCAUAACUUUCUCCAACAUAACUUCCAUUUUGGUUCAAAUUUUCCAUAGCAUCCUAUAUCAUCUUCAUCCAUCAUCCAAAUGUAAUUCAUCUUUGACAAUAUUAAUGUAAAUAUAAGUUAGCAACUAACAUCUACUGGUGUCAUCAAUUAAAAAAAAAUAAAGUUAUAAACAAAAACUUACCAAUGUCAUCUAAAAUGGAUUGGAUAGCCAUAUUUGCGAGGGUGGAUCAUUAAGUAAUGUAUUAAUCUUAUCAUUAGUUAAGAAUGAUGGUAACUUUUCCAAUAUCUAAUUAGCAUGCUCAUGGUCAUUAACACUUUCAAAAUUCUUAGGAUAAUAAUUUUUCUUUUUCAAUGGAUUCCUAAGUUUAUUAAUUUGGUCAUUAACAAAUAAUCAACAUAAAAAAAAUGAAAGAUGUAUUUAAAAAUGAAAAAAAGUUUAAAAACCUAAUAUCAGGAAAUCAAUAUUCUCAACAAUGUUGCAGGUUCUAUACUAGUUGAACAACCUAAGAAUAUUGAGUUUAGAACAUGCAAGAGUGCGAAAAGCAGUUGGGUUCAUUUUCUAUUUCUAUAAUUUUGAAAUAUACCACUUUUAAGCCUGAAAAGUUUAAAUAUAGCAUUAUCUGAACGUUAUUAGAUAGUGCUUUCAAAUCAAAAGUGAUGUAUAUCAAAAUUAGAGGAACUUAAAAAUGGACCGAAAAAAGGCUUACACCAGCACUCCUUAAUCAAUAAAGCAAACCCAACCCCUUCAGCAACACCGAGUUAAGGCAUGCUUCAGAUGCAGAACCCCUUGAAAAAAUCCGCGCAGAACUAUGGUUAUCUACUGCCCCACCCAUACAUCUAACCCCGAGAUAAUUAAGUUCAUUCUAUAUAUAGAUUCCAAUUUACUAUAUUUAUGAACCAUAUAUAUUCUAUAUACAUUCUUGCUGAACAUACACUACAACAGAUUCCAUCAGGCCAUCCCAAAAUUUAGAUGAAAUGAACCAAUCCUGAAUGCUGCUAAAAUCUAGCCAUAAGCAGAAGGAAUAACAAACUAUAUUUGAAAAUAAACAUAUCCUUUUAUUACCUUUGGCCAACAUCCAUUUCCAUGACAGGAAUUUAAUCCUAUAUGCAAUAUAAAGACAAACUAUUACAUUGUUUAUUUAUUUAAAAGAAAGGUCUCAUUUCUUUGUUUCGAAAGCGACCACACAAAAAUCCAUACUCUUUUCUUCUUCAAACUUGAGCUAUGAAAGAAGAAAUGGAAAAAAAAUGCUAGUAUAAAUUUAGAGGAAGAGGCAUAAUUAAAAAUACCAGGACAGCAAAAUAUGAUGCCAGACCCUAUUGGCAAUCAACUUUUUAUGCAUGUCAAUUUGUAAUUAUUAUAACAACAUGAUGAAUUUUUAGAAAUGGAAAACUAAAUUGAUGUUUUUUUUUAAAAAAAAAAAUUGAGGACCAAUUUUAAGGAUAUAUUAAUAUAGAGACCUUGUCCACGUUUGAUUGAAAGUAUAUAUAGAGAUUAAAAAUAUAUUGUUUCUUUUAAUUUAUUAUAUUUCCUUUCAUAAAAACACAUAAUAAUAUUAAUGUGUUGAGUUUAAUUUUUAUACAGUGUUAAUGUAAUUUUUUUUACACAUUAUCAAUUAACUAAUUAAAAAUCAUUGUAGAUAUGAAUUUGAAGAUUAUUUUUGUAAAAUUUAUCCACCUUAUAUACAUGCGAGUUUAUAAUUAGUUGAUAAAUAUAUAAAGACUCUUUAGAGUGCAAAGAGUACUAUUUUCUGUAUUACAUUAUUAAAAAUAGAACAAACAAUUUAAGAUACAUUUGUCAUGUACAGAUGGAGUUAUUAAUUUAAGAAUGAAGUAAAAGAUGAAAAGGAUUUUAAGUACUAACGAAAAUAACUGGAAUAUGAUGAAACACAAUAAGACACGUGACAGAAGAAUAUAUUUAAUUUAAUUAUUUGUAUCGAAUAAAAUUCAACUUAAUUAGUAUAUUUCAUAAAAUACAAUUGGUAAAAAAAAUUGAUCAAUUAAUUGUUAAAAAGUAAGAAAAUUUAAAUUAUUUGUAACGAAUAAAAGUCAAGUGAAGUGUUUUUAAGAAAAAUUGUUAAAAAGUAACGAAUAAAAUUGGAUUUUUUACAAAAUGUUUUAUUAAAUUCUGUACCCCUCUCCUAACUAUGUUUUGUCUUGUUGGUAGUUAUUGAAGCAACAGAGACACAGGAGGAAGUUAGAGUGCAUCUGGUGAAGCAUGAGUAGUGGCUCAGUGUGAGGUUUAAUGGACUGGAACAUUUUAUGAUGUGCUCCCCGUUGCAUGCUUUUCUGGGGGAUAUCAUACAUAUUUAUUCUCACUAGUACUGCUGCUACCUCCUGGCCCUGCUUAUUCAUAUUUAUAUUUAUUGCUUCCUUGGAUGCCUUAAAUUAAUAUGUUUUUCUCCGUCUAAGUUAGUAUUCCAAAUCUUGGAUGAUGAAACUUCAAUUUGUUAUCUAUGAAAAUAAGAUCCUUUACGUUCACACGUUUAUGCAUUUUAUUUCCGUUCAUCUAUUAAUUUCUCCUUGAAUAUAGUAACUUCACUUACCAGAAGAACCAGAAGUGAGGAAAAUUUACAAUAAUCCUAAUAAAUUAAGCCAUCUAUACAUGGAGCAAUUGUGCUAAGAUUUUUGUUAUAUUUUAUUAUCCUAGCCUGGGAUGAGGGAAAAAUUAGUUUAAACUUUGUUUGCUUAGGAAGUUAAAACUUUUGCUUAUCGUGUAGUCUACACUCGAUUCAUGGGUUUCUCAGUUCUUGUGUAAAACUUGGUCCCUAUCAGAAAGGGAGGCCUCAAUAAUUUUAUAUAACUUUUCUUCAAUUUUUCAUAUUCAUUUUAAAAAUUAAUGUUAUCAAAAGAUGGCUAAUAUGAGCCCUUAUUUGACACAAAUUGUAUGAGUUUCAACUUUAUUUCAAGUGUUUAUUUUUAUUAGGAUACUAGGCAAUUAUUAUUUUUUAUUGGACAUUUGGGAAUUUUUUUUUUUUUACAGACAUCGUAUAUGCUGCAGAGAGUAUUCAAGCUUCAAGCUUGACACUGAAAUAUGAAGAGUGCUGUGAACAUAAAAAUAGUUUAUCAAAAUAGUUUUCUUUUAUUGAAAGUGUAAUUUUAAGAUUUAUGUAUAUAAAAAAGUGAAAGAUAAGUGAGAAAUAAAUAUAAUUUAGAUAACUGUCACCUGUCACAUGUAGUGACCAUUUCUCCGUUUUAAGUAUAAUUGAGCUACUGAAAUAUUCAUAUUAGCAAAAUGGCAGGUUUAGCAUAGAGAAAAGGAUGAGUAAGUGUUCCAAAUUGACAACAAAAAAAUAUUACAAUCAUAUUUUUUGGCUAGAUUUUCACUUACGAUGAAUGGUGUUCAAAAAAAACUUCUUAAAAUUGUAUGACUAGUUAGACUUCUAGGCAAAACAUAAGCAAAUGUCAAUGUAUUUGCAUUUUUAUAGUAGGAUAAGAGUAAAGGUUAAUGAGGUUUUCAUCUAUAUACAUUAUUGAGGAUAUAGAUGUAGGGCAUUAAACAAGUUCUAUUAUCAUUUGAAUGAGCAUCUAUUAAUUCUUGACUAUUCUUUCUUUUGGGAACAUAAAUUAAGGCUCUCUUCAAUUAAGUUUCACUUACGAGACUGUCUAAUUAUACUCACUGUCCCCCACCUCUAAUCUACCAUGCUUGAAAUUUCUAGCCAAUUAACUUCAUUAUUACCACACUGGUCUGCACGAAUAAUUGUUGAAAUUAAAUAUCUUCAUACUGAUAAAAAAAACUGCAACAUCUGCGACCAUAUUUAUGAAGUCUACGCAGAUGUAAGAUUGAACUGGUAGCUAGAUUGGAAAAUGGACUUAAGAUAAAGGAAGAAGAGGGGAAAAAGAAGUUAUGUGUUCAAAUUUCUUUCACGUAUUUCUAAUCAACCUAAUAAAUUAAUUUUUGUUGAUUUAAAAAAAACACAUACAAAUACAGGACUAUAUUUACUGGAUCCCACCUUCAAAGUUGCCAUUAUUGAUAUUUAUUGGAUCACAUUUGCAACGUUGCCUUUAUUGAUUUGUACAUAAAAAAUUAAUUUUGCUUGCGAAAUUGUCAAUAUGGUAUUGCUAAAUUAGGAAACAGAAGUUAGGUAUACAAUCAUUCGGAACCCUUUGGGUACCACUACCCACUUGAUUCACGAGUUCUUCGACAAAUCCAUAUAGUAACAUCACUCCUUUUAAUUAUAUUAAAAUUAAACUAAUGUCUCACAUCUAUUUAUUAUAUUUUUAUAUUAAAGCACGGCUAAACCCAAGUCUUGCAUUCUUGGCAUUUUCAUCAAGUUUGAUCUGUGUUGGUCAUUAUAAAUCCCCAUUUCAAACUUGACCAACAUAAUGCAAUGUAUCUUAUGCACUAUAUACAGCUGUAGCAAACUGACAAAAUACAGCAAUAAUUUUAACACCAAAAUACAAAUAAACGAUAUCAUCAUCAAUUUUUUUAAUUAUUUGAAACUGGUGCACAUUUUCUUCAAGAUCCAUCAAUUAUUCCACAUUCCCAAAAACUAUAUCUUCAUCAAGAAAUAUGAAAAAUAAUAUCUCUGUAUUAACACAUCCUACAAAGAAGUUGAAAAUAAAAAUAAACAAAAUAAGAUACCUCAAAAUAAUUAUAUACUUAAAAAGGAUUCAGAAUUUCAGAUUCCACUCAAACGUGCUACAAAAAUGAAUUUUCAAAUUUUUUUUUCCCCUCAUAUAAUUCUACUCAAAUUUUAUCUUAUCUUCUUAUUUCUCUUCAGACAGAGAUCACCUGUCUCACAUCAUAUUUAUUAUUCGAUAUCAAACAAUUUUUAAAUUUUGUUUUUAUCAUGGUCUUUCUUUAUACUCAAAAUAUAUAUCUUAUCUCAAUUAUUUCAAUCAAUUUUAUAAUUUUUUACCUUACAAGAUAGGUAACUAAUCAUUAACCACAUUCACAUUUUUUUUACUCAUAACAUAGAUGUGAUAGGUAACGGACUGAUUAGUUACCUAUCAGUUAUAAGAUAGAUAAUUUUCUCCCUUAUAACUAAUCUUGUCCAAAUUUUUCAACACAGAAAGGACCUAUUCUCUUUAUAGACUUAUCCUUUUUUCCACCACCGAAGGAGACCUAUCCUUUUUGCCUCAUGGUCUUUCUUUAUACUCAAAAUAUCUAUCUUAUCUCAAUUGUCUCACUCAAUUUUAUAAUUUUUUACCUUACAAGAUAGAUAACUAAUCAUUAACCACAUUCACAUUUUUCUUACACAUAACAUAGAUGUGAUAGGUAACGGACUGAUUAGUUACCUAUCAGUUAUAAGAUAGAUAAUUUUUUCCCUUAUAAUUAAUGUUGUCCAAGUUUUUCAACACAGAAAGGACCUAUUCUCUUUACAGACCUAUCCUCUUUCCACCACCAAAGGAGACCUAUCCUCUUUGCUUCAUGAUCUUUCUUUAUACUCAAAAUAUCUAUCUUAUCUCAAUUGUCUCACUCAAUUUUAUAAUUUUUUACCUUACAAGAUAGGUAACUGAUCAUUAAACACAUUCACGUUUUUCUUACUCAUAACGUGGAUGUGAUAGGUAGCAGACUGAUCAGUUACCUAUCAGUUAUAAGAUAUAUAAUUUUAUCCCUUAUAACUAAUCUCGUCCAAGUUUUUCAACACAGAAAGGACCUAUCCUCUUUAUAGAUCUAUCCUCUUUUCACCAUCAAAGGAGACCUAUCCUCUUUGCCUCAUGAUCUUUCUUUAUACUCAAAAUAUCUAUCUUAUCUCGUCACCAUAAUCUUUGUUCUCUUGCUUUUCCUACUCAUAAAAAUACUAUCGUAAGGAAAGGACCAAUAAGCGGAGCAACCGGACUUAACUUUAAUAGUAUUAUUUUUUUUUCAUUUUGUGAUUCAAACUUCACUAUAAAAGUGCAGUGCUAUGGAUCAUUUUGAGUUAUACUACUUUCUUGGUACCAAAAAAUUUACACACUAUUGUUAUUUGUGCAAAAUAUUUAAAUAAUUUUGCAUUGUACUUUAUAAUGAUUUAUAUGUUAAUAUUGAUAAUAUACAGUAGAUAUAGAUAUAAUUUAUUUAUUAUAAUAUUUAUGAUAUAUAGUCUGUAAAAUUAUUAAUUUUAUAAAUCUUUGUUACUAUUUUAACCAUAUAAUAAUUAUUUGGUUGUUGCACAACAAUUUCAUGUUGAAUCAUUAUCAUCUGGGGUCAAAGUUACGUGGCGAUGCAUGUUAUCCACUAAAUAAAUGUGUUUAGCAUAAAAUUGUUUUGGCACAAAAAAAUUGAUAAUUUUUCUCCCCUCAUGUUUUUCUUGCUACUUAAAUUUAAUAGUAUUAUUUUUUUUUCAUUUUGUGAUUCAAACUUUACUAUAAAAGGGCAGUGCUAUGGAUUAUUUUGAGCAGAGGCAGAAGAUAAUUAGCCAUGGCUUCUAUAUCAUCACAUCCAUCCUUCUCGUCCCUCCUCAGUUUCUCUGCAUCCUUUUCCAUUCCUUCCAUGUUUCCAACGUCUCAAAAACCAUGCCAACCUAGCAAACCAAAACGUGGUCGUCAUGCUUCAAAAGUUGCAUGCAAUGGUAACCCUAACCCUAGAAAUAGGAGGGACAUUUUGAUUGGCCUUGGAGGACUUUAUGGUGCUACUACUCUUAGUGGUAACAGCACCGGUUCAGCCUUUGGUGCUCCGGUGUCUCCUCCAGACCCAACUAACUGUGUUCCGCCACUAUUGCCGGGCGAAAAUGAUGUCAAUUGUUGCCCUCCAUCCCCAAUCGUAGACUUCGAGUUCCCUUCACACAAAAGACUUCGACAUAGACGACCUGCACAAUGGGUCGAUGAUGAUUACCUAAACAAGUACAAGGAAGCCGUUAGGCUCAUGAGAGCCCUUCCACUUGAUGAUCCUCGAAAUUUCAUGCAACAGGCAAAAAUUCAUUGUGCUUACUGUCAUAAUGGCUAUCGCCAAAAAGGUUUCCCUGAUCAUAAUCUCCAAGUCCACGGCAAUUGGCUAUUCGCCCCCUUCCAUCGUUGGUACCUCUACUUCCAUGAGAGAAUCUUGGGGAGCUUGAUCGGUGACCCAACUUUUGCUCUUCCAUUUUGGAACUGGGACAAUCCCCCAGGCAUGGCAAUGCCAGCCAUUUACACUGAUGAAAAUUCCCCUCUCUAUGACCCUUUCAGGAAUGCCCUCCAUCAACCACCAGUUAUUGUAGACCUAGCCAACGAGGCCAAUAUUCUUGACCCAAGUAAGCAAAUCGUGAACAACGAAAUUACAAUGUUCAGGCAUGUUGUUAUUGAGGGGAUAAGCCCUAGCCUCUUCCUCGGAAAACCCUACUAUGCUGGAUGUGAGCCAAAUAACCCUGGUGCUGGCUCUCUAGAAAAAGGUCCGCACAAUAAUGUCCACAGAUGGACUGGUGAUCCCACACAACCUCAUAGGAUCGACAUGGGGUAUUUGGCUUGGGCUGCAAGAGACCCCAUUUUCUUUGCUCACCAUUCAAACGUGGAUAGGAUAUGGAACAUAUGGAAAACAAUACCGGGAGGGUUUAGAAGAGAUUUCAACGAUGAUGAUUGGUUAGAGUCCAGCUUUCUCUUCUACGAUGAGAACAAGAACCUUGUGCGUGUGAAGAUCAAAGAUUGUCUUGACUCCAGAAAGUUGGGGUAUGAUUACGAAUAUGUUGAUGACACGCCAUGGCUGAAUGUUCGUCCUAGACCCAAAUAUGCGGUUCCUCUCCCCCUCCCGUUUCCACUUCCACAACCUUUGCCGUUCCCUCUCACUUUGAAUUCCAUUCAACGUACAACUGUGAAGAGGCCAAAGAAGGAGGAGUCAUGGAGCGAGGUAGAAAAGGCGGAGGUGUUAGUGAUGGAAGUUGAGUAUGAUAUGACUGAGGAUGUGAAAUUUGAUGUGUUUAUCAACGACCAAGGUGACGAUGAGAUAGGACCCGAGGAUUCGGAGUUUGCGGGAAGCUUUAUGACCUUGGCUCAUUCGCAUGGGCACCAAAGCAAGAGGACAACAACUUCUCUUAGAUUGGCAAUAACGGAUCUGUUGAAAGAUUUGCAUGCACUGGACGAUGAAAGUAUUGCGGUCACACUGGCUCCAAGAUAUGGGAACAAGCCUGUCACAAUUAAGGGCAUAAAGAUAAAGCUUGUCCCUCUGGUGGAGUAUGUUAAUGUAUAACAAUAUUCAGCAGCUUAAUUAUGUGUGGUGUGAGACCUUUUUUUUUCUUUUCCUUUUCUUUUGAAGCUUCGGUUUGUUGUUUUGUGAGGGAAUGCGGUUUGUGAUCCUGCCAUCUGCUAUGUGACAGAUUUUAUCACAUGUAAAUUGGCUAGGCAACAAUUCCAUAUGUCAUGUUUCUUAUUGCAACUAAAUCCAUGUCAAAUACUAUUGCAGAUGCUUUUCUUUUCUACCUUAGAGUCCCGCGUAGCUAGAAAUACAUGAGGGGAGAAAAAUUAUCAAUUUUUUUGUGCCAAAACAAUUUCAUGCUAAACACAUUUAUUUAGUGGAUAACAUGCCUCGCCACGUAACUUUGACCCCCAGAUGAUAAUGAUUCAACAUGAAAUUGUUGUGCAACAAUCAAAUAAUUAUUAUAUGGUUAAAAUAGUAAUAAAGAUUUAUAAAAUUAAUAAUUUUGCAGACUAUAUAUCAUAAAUAUUAUAAUAAAUAAAUUAUAUCUAUGUCUACUGUAUAUUAUCAAUAUUAACAUAUAAAUCAUUAUAAAAUAUAAUACAAAAUUAUUUAAAUAUUUUGCACAAAUAACAAUAGUGUGUAAAUUUUUUGGCACCAAGAAAGUAGUAUAACUCUAGCGGAAUAGGGGAUGCUUCUAAAUACAGUGAUCCACCUAACUUUUGGAUCUUCGAUGGAGCAUGCUUUUUAUUUUUACGUUGUGGUCGGUUUUUCCGACUGGGUAGUCUACUAUAAUUCUGUCACAAUUGUUAUGAAAACAAAUAAAAGAAAAGAAAUCACGUCUCCCAUCGGUGUAUAAUUCCAAAAUAACUAGUGACAUGGAUUUUUUUUUCAUCCAUUUUAUUUUGUCUCACAACUCGAAACUUUUAAGGGUUAUGUUGCACAAUUUAAAAGUAACAAGGUUUAUAUAUUAGUUACUGAUUAUUAAAGUAUACCAACGCGCGCAGUGUGAUAUAAUAUAUAGAAGAAUAAUCCUUAAAUUUAGGUCCACAUAUGAAAAAACAUGUAUCGAAAAAUGUUAGACGAUCCUUACAUAUUAACGGUUUCAAGAAAUUAUUUUUAUUAUAAUAAGCAUUUUCUUACGUCUAGAAAUAUCAUCACUAGUUUAUUAGCGACUCGAAUAUUAGUAUGGAUAAGGAACCAAUAAAAAUAUUGUCACUAAUUAUCUUUAGUGAUGAAUUUUUAAUUUUUAGUAACGAAUGUCAUCAUCACACACACAAAAAAAAACACUAUUUCUUGCAGUUGUAGAAUAGUAUGCUGAAUUGGAAUUUUUUGCACAAGACUUUCACAUAUGAGAGGGCACGACAAAAAACCGCAUCCCCUGGCAGCAAACAACCCAAAAAGGAGGCUCAAAAGAAAGAGAAAUCAUCCUGUUUUAGAAGUUAGUAUUUUUUUAUUUUAUUUAUAUAAAUUUAUUUUUUUUAAUUUUAUUUUAUGUAAAUUUAUUUUAUUUUUUAAUUUUGAUUCAUGUAUGAUAUUUUUUUAAUUUUUUAAUUUUUGUAAAUUUAGGAUUUUCUAAUUUUGAUCUCAAUAAGAUUUCAAUUUUCUCAUUUAUAGUGUUAAUAAAUUUGAGUUUAUAAGGAUCAAAAUUAAAAAAGUAUAAAUUUAAAAAGAUUAAAAAAGUAAAAUAUCUUAUAAAAAUUAAAAUUAAAAGUGUAAAUUUACAAGAAUAAAAUUUAAAAAAAAAUACUAACUUAGACGGAGAAAAACAUAUUAAUUUAAGGCAUCCAAGGAAGCAAUAAAUAUAAAUAUGAAUAAGAAGGGCCAGGAGGUAGCAGCAGUACUAGUGAGAAUAAAUAUGUAUGAUAUCCCCCAGAAAAGCAUGCAACGGGGAGCACAUCAUAAAAUGUUCCAGUCCAUUAAACCUCACACUGAGCCACUACUCAUGCUUCACCAGAUGCACUCUAACUUCCUCCUGUGUCUCUGUUGCUUCAAUAACUACCAACAAGACAAAACAUAGUUAGGAGAGGGGUACAGAAUUUAAUAAAACAUUUUGUAAACAAUCCAAUUUUAUUCGUUACUUUUUAACAAUUUUUCUUAAAAACACUUCACUUGACUUUUAUUCGUUACAAAUAAUUUAAAUUUUCUUACUUUUUAACAAUUAAUUGAUCAAUUUUUUUUACCAAUUGUAUUAAGUUGAAUUUUAUUCUUUACAAAUAAUUAAAUUAAAUAUAUAUUUCUGUGUCACGUAUCUUGUUAUGUUCUAUCAUAUCCCAGCCUUUUAGUUUCUUCUUAAACUAAUAACUCCAACUGUACAUGAUUAAUGAAUCUUAAAUUAUUUGUUUUAUUUUUAAUAAUGUAAUACAGAAAAUAGUACUCUUUGCACUCUAAGGAGUCUUUAUAUAUUUGUUAACUAAUUACAAAUUCACAUGUAUAUAAGGUGGUUAAAUUUUAAAGAAAAUCAUCUUCAAAUUCAUACCUACAAUGAUUUUGUAGUGAUGAUUAGUUAAUUGUGAUUAUUAAGUUCUGUAAAAAAAUUGAGACUAUUAUUGUUUACAAUUAAAAAAAUAGUGUUAUUCGUAUCCAUUAGAGUUGUGCCAAACAUAUUGUACUUUUUGGAUAAAAAACAAAUUAUUGUAGUCUUUUGGAACUUUAUAAAUAUGUGACUUUCUUUUGUAUGAAGAUCUUGUUAUUUCUUUAAUUAUGACUUACGUCUCUCUCUUUUUUUUUUUAAAAAAAAAGCAAAGAUUAAUAUACUUAUAGAGUUUCUAAGAUGUCUCCAAUAAUUUUGGAAAUUUUGAUACUAUUAGUUUUUUACCAAUUAAAUUACAUGUCAUAUUCUCAUUAAUUAUUUUUUUUGUUUUUUUAAAUUAGUCCUUGAUUAUUAUUUUUUAAAAUUGCAACUUUCUUAAAUAAGAAAAUAUGAUUCAAGAUAACUUUAAAAGUUUAAACCCUAAAAUCUUUUUAAUUACUUUUAACACUUUUUAUAAAAAAAAUAUCAAUAUUGUUUAUUUGAAAAUAUCAAUAUUUAAUGUUUUUUUUGUGGUAAUCCCAUCAGCAUUACUGUUUAACGAGUCUCUGUAUUGUUGUUCAUUCGUUCUCUUUCUAUACUAUGUUAAUUUUAUACUAUGUUAAUUAUAAAAUGGUUUCAAAAUCAUUGUUACAAUUUUUUUAUACACUGUGAGAAACUAGAAAAACUGUGAAUUUUGUCCUUCCCUUUAGUGAAAUUAAUGCAUAGUCAAUUAUGUGUAAAUUAAUAAAAACAUCAUUAAGGUUAAAGAAAAGGAUAAAGAAGAAUACUCAUAUGAAUAUUCUGGUCUUAUAUUUUUUUAAAAAAAAUUAUAAAAAGUGUUGAAAGUAACUAAAAGGAUUUUAGGAUUCAGAUAUCUAAAGUUAUCUUUAAUCAUAUUAUCUAAUUUUAAAAAGUUACAAUGUUAAAAUUUUAAAAAAUAAUAAUCAGGGAUUAAUUUGAAAAAAAAAAUCCAUAGAAAGAUGACAUAUAAAUUUAUUGGUAAAAAAUUAACAGUAUCAAAAUCCCUAAAAUUAUUGAAGCACCUUAGAAAGAAUUUAUCAACUGCAUACCCUUUUUUUUUCAGCAAAACAAAAUACUUUAUAAGUAUAUGAUGGACAUAAGAAUACCGUAUGGUACAAAAAAAAAAAAAACUGGUAGAUUUUGAACAACCUCCCUGUCUCCGCCAGCCUGUGGUGGUUAAUUAGUUAGUAUUUAUGAUAUGAACCAGAAAUAUUUAAUAACCAUCAAUACCUCCAAGUAAACUACACACUCAACCAAUCAAGAAAGCAAACUCCCCUUUUCUUAUUUAAACCUGAGCUAUAAAAAAAGAAUUGGAAAAAAUACGGGUAUAAAUACUGAGGCAUUGGCAUAACAUACCAAUCUAACUAAAAGUAUGAUACCACGACCUAGCUAGAGGCAACAAUGCAGUGAACAUACAAGUGUAUGUAUAGUUGUAGAAUCAUCAAUAGAAGUGAACAUAUUCACUAACAUGGGUGGCAAAGCAUUUCUUCGAACCAAAUUAUCUUUCUUCGUAGGUUGGUUAACUAAUAGUUAAACUAUUCUUUUCAAUUAAUAUAUAUUAAUUAAAAGGAGAUUAGGAGUUAUAUUGUAUUAUAAACAAAUGUAACAAUAAAACAAACAAUUUAACAAACAUUUAUUAUAACAAUAACAUAGUAUCCCUCAACAAAGAUGGAAGGGAUCUAUUAAGUUCCAAGAAAAAUAACUACAGCAUACUAAUUAAGAAACAACAAAUGACAGAUAGAGUAUCCCUGGAGGAACAAACCCUAGUAGUAGCACACACAUAAUUUAGAUUUAUUCAUCGUCCACCUCAGGAUAAACACGCUUAAUCUAUCCUUACGUCCUUAAUUGUAACAGGCUUGUUCCCAUAUAUGGGAGCCAGUGUGACAGAAAUACUAUCAUCGUCUUUUGUUACUCCAAGUCUGAAAGAAGCUUUGGUGAUGUUGUUGUGGUUGACAUGCGGCGAGUGAGGCAAAGUCACAAAGCUUCCCGCAAACUCUGAAUCUUGGGGUCCAAUCUCAUUGUCGCCUUGGUCGUUGAUGAACACAUCAAACCUCACACCAUCAGUACUAUCAUACUCAACAUCUAUCACUAACACCUCUUCUACGCCUUCUUCUUCUUCUUCAUUCUCGUUCCUAGAGCGCGGCUUCGGCCUCUUCACGAUUGUAGGAAAAAGUUAAUGUAUAAAAAUUAUUAUUAAUACUUAAGCAAAUUGUUUAAAAUAAUAAUAAUAAUAAUAAUAAAUAUUACUUUCAAUUUAUAUGUUGUUUUGUGCUCGUACACUUAAAAUUCUUAAUCAUUAAGAAACAAAUAACUUUAAAGAAUAACUAAAAAUAUUAUAAAUAAUCUUAUUAAAAUCUUAAAAUAUAAAUAAUAUAUGUAUAAAGAAAUUGCAAAAAAAAAAAAAUUGGUUAGAGGACCAUGCCCCCUAUGUCCCAAUGAAGAUCCGUCAAUUGUUAGGGAUUUUAUAAUUCCUAAUUAAUUAAUAUGGAUUACAUAUUAUAUUAUAACAUUUAUAUUAGUUAUUUACAUUUAAAUGAGUUCAAUAUAAAGUGAUCUAUUUAAGUGAGCCCAUUAGACUGUCAAUAGAUAAUUGAUAUGAGAAUAGGUUUAAAACAUAAGGCAUGGUUAUGAUCCCCAAUACACCAAAUCAAUAAACAGUUUCUCCUCUCCCCAUCUGAAGAGAAAACGAAGGUUUCAUAAGGAAGAAUGUGAUUUGGUUGAAGAAGGUCAUUAAACCAGUUGUUCGUGACCACUGUCAGAUUUCGCUGCGUGAUAAUCAAGCUCCAUGGAUCCAAGUAUUCCUUAAAACCUCUUGAUAAUCUGACGUAAUAUGUUAUGAUGUUCAUUUUGUAUUUUAUAAGGUUUAUUGAAAAUUCACAACAUCAAUGACUACCAGAAUUAAGAAUGAUUAUUAUCUGCCAUCAUGACUGUAAUCUCUGCAGUCACCUCUAUCAACGAUAAAUAAUAUUUAUAUUGGUAUCCGAUCAAAAUAUGUAUUUUUUGUCAAAAUCAGAAUGAAUACUUGCAUGUAUGCAGAUUCUUAUCAUCCCUACUCAUGACAUUUGUAUUAGUAGGUAUUUUAAUUGUGAAUGAGACUUGACGAAUUUAAGUUAUCUAUCUCCACCUAAAGGUUCUAAAGUAAUGUGAGUUUCCAAGGACUAAACAAGGGUCUGAAUUGUCUCAUUAUUAGUUUUGGCACAAUGUCAUUUUUCUUGCCUAACACUACACAUACGGGUUUGGCAUGCUAUUUAAAUAUUGAUCUAGAUUUGUGGGCUUUACUUCACGUUUUAAUGGAGAUCUAGAUUGGAAUUUUCAAACUCCAAACAAAACUUAAGCUAUAUAUAUAUAUAUAUAUAUAUUUUGAUGGAGGGGAGAUCCAAUUAAAAACGGUUAGUCAAAUUUUUUUACAAAAUUAAUUAAUACUUGGUACUAAUAACAUAUGGUAACAAAAAUAAUCUAAAAAACUCAAGAUACAUGGAGAAAUCAUGGAAUUAAUCUUUAAACACGAGAUUCAUUACUUAGAGAUUGAUUUAGACUAGAUUUUUUUAGUUAAAUUAGUUGCUACAUCAAUUAAGAGUAACGUCACAAAAACAGUCAACAUAAAAUUGGUCACUAGUCAAUCAUUAUGAAAGUGGUUUUUAGUUUGGUCACUACCCAUCAGUCACUAAAUAACUUUUAUAACAUGAGUCAUCAAAUUAGUCUCUAUAAUUUGAGUAACUACAUUAAUUGUAAUAAAACUAGUCAUUUAAUUGGUUUUUAAAUCAGUGUCUAAAUUGGAAUCUACACUCAGCGACCAAAAAUUUAGCUGCUCGCUAAAAUUGGUAUCUUAUUUGGUCACUAACUGAUUAACGACCAACUUUGUAAAAUUAGAGACCAAUAUUCUGUCACUAAGAACCAUUUUUCUUGAAGUAGGGAAUAUUGGAGAUACUUCUGAUUUCCAUUGAGCAACAUAUUAACAAUCAACACACAUAAUAAUAUAAAAUUAGCAUUUAUUUUAAUGAUAUUAAAAUAUUUUAAUCAAACAUUAGUGACAAAAUUGUAAUUUUCAAAUAAAUUACUUCAACUUUAGAUAGUCAUGGAUGGAGUUGAACUUUAAAAAUUAUUGACUACGUAUAUAUAAUCUCAUAAAUGUAUAAUAGAAAAAUAUGUAUAUACAGUAAACAAAAAAGAAACAUAUGUAUAUAAAUAACACAAGUAUUUAUAAAUAAAAUAAAAUGGGCAUAUGUAAGUACGUAACUAACUGUAUUUAUAAUCAACUAACAACAAAUAUAUAACUAACAGCAGAAUAAAUAAAUGGUAAAAAAAGUUACUGUAGUGUAGUAGAGAUUUAUAUGUGGAAAAAUAAAAGAAGUGUUUUUUUUAGAAUUAAAUAAAGAAGUUAAAAACCAAGCAUAUAACUAAAUAAAAAUUAAAUACAGUAAUUCAAAUAGUAAAAAAUAAAAUACAAACAGAAUACAGAGUUUUUAUACGGUUAGAGAUAUAAUGGAAUUAAAACAAGAUAACUUAUUGAAGAUAAAUAGUAACAAGAAGCAAAGAGAUGGUGAUGGGUUAGUAAUGAUUAAAAGUUACGUAGGUACAGGGAUUAGAAUUGAUUAUUUUUUUUUGGAUUAGAAUUUAUUUAACUUUUCGUUAAGAAUUGAAGAGCAAAAUAGUAACGUUUUUAAAUUAAUAGAAUGACAAUAAUAAUUAAGGGGAAAAUAAAAUAAACAAUAUGAUGCUAGGAACACAUUACUUAACACCCAUGGUUAUACUUUUAUGUUGAGAGUUAUGAUAUAUGUCUUCUCUCCUUACUCUGGAAAAUCUGAUUUUAGUAAAAGAAGAAGGAAAGAAGUGAGUUUUAGGUUUGUGGACCACUAGGUUUUGGUAGCCAGGGUACGAAUUUAUGAUGAGUGGUGACUAACCUAAUACCCUUCAUGCAAAACAUGGUUGUGACACCUUGCAAGCCUAGGGACGUGCUUAGGUUAUCAUUUGUCCUAGUUGAAUUUUAAUUGAUCUUUGAUUUAGUUCAGUUCAAUUCCAACUAGUUUAAUUAUCUUAGCUUUAGUUAGUUUUUGUUGAGUUUAGUUUGUUUGGAAAAGAAAAAAAAAUGGUUUUUUACUAGAUACAUGUGCUAAAAAUAAAAAAAAAAAAAUUUAAAAUUUCAAUAAAUAUAGUUGGACACCCCAAAUCCUAUGCAACACACCUAGUGAGAGAGAGAAAAAUAUUGAGAUAAUAUAUGAUAUGAUAAAAAGAAAAAGAUAAAAAAAAAUAAAAGAUAUUGACAAUGUGUUUAAAAUAAAGGAUAUGCAAAUAUCAUUGUUAAAAAAAAAAUAUUCAACGUAUUCAUAGUAAAAGGUAGAGUUCCUAGUACUUAUUAAAAGAAUGAGGACACAAUAACCUCUUUUCUUCAAUUUGGCUCAAGUAUAAUUUUGGACUCUCAAAUUUAGAUCAGUUUUGUUCUUGUCCUCCAAAUUUAGAUUUGUUCUUUUUUUUUUCUCUUAGAAUUAGAAGAAUGCUAAUAUUAAACUCUUUCUUGGUUCUUAGGAAUACUAUUGAUUCUAGUUUUAAAUUUUCUAAUUCAAAGUAACAAAUUUUCCUCACUUAUCAAUCUCUAGCGAUUGCGGCAUUGUUUUAUUGAGUUCUUGUCUCAAUCCAUUUUUAUUUUGUCUUCAAAUUUUUCCUUGAAUUUUCUACUUUUUGGGAUGUAUGCUGAAUUUUGAUCCAUAAAAAAGAAUUUUUCAUUGGUUAUAUAUAUAGAGAGAGAAAACUAUUUUUGUGAGAAUAUGUGCAUAUAUAAAAACACGAGAGCAACAAAUUAUAAUCCUCGGAUUAAAUUUAAUGGUCUAGAUUAGAACCCAAAUUAAAAAACGGCACGGCCCCAUUCUCCUUUAAGUUUGCCUAUUAUCUCCUCCUUCCAGUUCACGUUCUCUUGCUUUCAUUGUGUGUUAAUGCUUAAUACUGCAACUAGUUGGCUUAGAGGGGAUGCUCUCUUCCCUGCACUAUGCGCCAAUUCUUCUACCACAAAAGCGAUUGCUGGAAUCAAAUUUUACACCCUUUCUCUACUCAUCAUGUCACACACCCUUUCUGUUCGUAACGUCGCACGCAAGAGAAGGGGAAAAGACACUUGAACCUAAUUCCUAUAUUCUCUUUCUAACGUCGCACCAUUCCUGUUUUCUUCGUCAAUUGUUUUUCAUCUCUCAAAGUGCGAUCUUUUUUCUUUGCAUAUUAACGUGAUGGAUAUUGCACCAAUUUGACUCCAAUAAUCGAUUUCAGAAUUGGCGAGGGUAGGGGAGUGAGCGUCCUGUUUCACGAAAGAUAGCAUCCUAUUUCAGCAGACAACGUUAACAAACUAUAUUGCUGGCAACAUGAGAAACGAGGCACGUGCUUUUUUGUAUUUGGAUUAAUCUUGACCAUAAAAUUUAAUCUGAGGGUUAUAAUUUGAUGUUCUCAUAUAAGCAACUUGCACUAUAUACAUACAUACAUAUAUAUAUAUAUAUAUAUAUAUAUAUAUAUAUAUAUAUAUAUAUAUAUAUAUAUAUAUAUAUAUAUAUAUUUCAAGUGGAUAUUUUAAUUAUUUACAAGAAAUUCGUUAUACACGAAACGGGAGAGAAUAAAAUUGAAAAAAAUAAAUAUUAUACAUUGGAUCAAACAUUUGUUAAGCUCUAUAACAACAACAAACGAAAUAUAUUCAAUAAAAUUUUCUUUGCCAGUAAAAGUGCCAUAAUUAAGUCGUAUAUGACAGUGACAUAUUUCCACUCCUCCUUUUCAAACUCUAUCUUUAUGCCUUGAAUUGUGAUGGUGACAUUCUCACAUCGUGGUACCAACGUGACCAAAAUACUAUCAUCAUUUUCAGCAUCCAAGUCUGUUACUCCUAUUGUCAAGCUAGUUUUGAUCUUCUUGUCCAUGUUCAUGUUCGAAUGGGAAUGACCCAAAGUAGCAAAGAUUCCUGCAAACUCCGUCCUCUUUGGUCCAAUCUCCUCCACAUCUUCAUCAGUAAUAUACACAUCAAACUUCACAUCAGUAUCCCCAUCAAACUCAAUCCCAUCAAUCACCAACACUGCUUCCUCUUCCUCUUUCUCCCUCUUGCUCCUCAACUUCUUUGGCCUUUUAACAAGUAGGGUUACCUUUGAGUCCAACAAAGUGAUAGGAAACUUGGCACUUGGCUUAGGCUAAGCCGCCAUUGCUGCACCAAUCCCAGACUGUUGUACGAACGCCACCUUCUUAGCUUUUCUAGUUAUUUUGGGUUUAGUCUUUUUCUUGAGCCAUAGAAUGUCAACAUCUUGGUAGAUGUACCGCAUCUUUUUCGAGUCGAGGGAGUCUUUCACCUUCACCCGCACAAGGUUCUUGUUCUCAUCGUAGAAGAAAAAGGUGGUUUCCAACCAAUCGCGGUUUUUUAUGUCCCUUCUUUUUCCACAUGGUAUUGUUUUCCAUAUGUUCCAUAUCCAAUCCACAUUGGCAUGGUGAGAAUAGAAAACAGGGUCUCUUCCAGCAGAAUAUAAAAUCUCCCCAUGUCCUCUUUGUUAGGUUGUUUUGGAUCAAUAGUGAAAGAAAAAGAGGGUUCAAAACACGCAAGCACAGCGACAGACUAAAAAAAAUUAUUUUACAUUUAAAUUAUAUAUUGAAGUAGACCACAUUUCUUUAAUAAUGUAAAGAUUCUAUGUGUAUUUACAUUAAGACAUCAAUUAUUUGAUGAAUGAAACUUUAAAUAGUAAAAAACAUUUAUACUGUUUAAAAUUGGCUUAAACUUUAUUAGUGUAUUUCUGGUGCAUUUUGCUUUCAGCUAAAUGCUUUUAUUUUCAAAAAAGAGAGAUCAACAACUUUGGCCUUUUAACAAGUGUGGAUACCUUUGAAUUCAAAGUGAGAGGAAACUUGACGCUUGGCCUAGCUUCAGCGGCCUGUGCUGCACCAACACCAAAAUGUUGUGCAUGCCACCUUCUUAGCUUUUCUAGAUUUUUUGGGUUUUGGCUUUUUGUUGAGCCAUGGAAUGUCAACAUCCUGGUAAACGUACCCUAGUUUUUUGGUGUCGAGGCUAUCUUUUAUCGUCACACGCACACGGUUCUUGUUCUCAUCGUAGAAGUAAAACGCGGUUUCUAACCAAUCAGGGUCAGUGAAUCCCUUCUUUUCCCACCUUUGAUUGUUUUCGAAAUGUUCAACAUCCUAUCCACAUUGGCAUGGUGAGAAUAGAAAAUGGGGUCUCUUCCAGCAGAAUAGAAUCUUCCCAUGUCCUCACCGUUAGGUUGAUUUCUAUCGCCAGUCCAAAUGUGCCCAGGAGUGUGAGGAACACUCUCUACAGAACCAGCACUAUUAUUAGGCUCCUCUCCAGGAUGGAAAGGUUUUCCGAGGAAGACUGAUGGGGUUUACCCAAAAGAAACAACACUCUUAUACACUACACAGAGGUUGUUUUCUACACUUGCACUGCCGUCAUUGUUUUUGCUAUAGUUUAGGUCUACGAGAGUAGGGGGUUGGUGGAUUUUAUCCCUGAAACAGUCAUAAAGAGGGGAUUUUUCAUUUGUGUAAAUGGGAGGGAUUACCAUGCCACAUCAGGGUUGUUCCAGUUCCAAAACCUAAGAGCAAAGGUUGGGUCAUCGAUCAAUUUCCCCAAGAUUUUCUCAUAGAAAUAAAGGUACCAACGGUGGAAAGGGAAGAAUAGCCACGAGUUGUGGACUUUGAAGUCGAGCUUAGGGAACUCAACUUGUUUAUAGCCACCAUCACAGUAUGCACAAUGGAUGUUUGCUUGUUGUAUGAAACUUCGAGGAUCAUCAGGUGGAAGGGCUUUCAUGCGCGUAAGGGCUUUCUCAUACUUCUCUAGAUAGUCUUUGUUGAAGAAUUGAGCAGCUGAUCUAACCCUAACGGGUGUUCCUGGAGGAAGGAACCUGAAUUCUACAGGCUUGGAAGAAGGUUAUGGUGGGCAACAAUUGAGUUGUUUCUCAAUCCCCCUGGUACAUCAUCGAUUUCAACACAAUUUUCUAGUUUGGGUGGUUGAAAUGGAGCAGCGAUGGCUAAAGGGUUGUUGAUGUUGUUGCUAAGAGUAGAAGCAUCGUAAAUGCCUCCGCCAAGGAGAACAUGCCUCCUAUGUUUUCCUAGAAUAUUGUUGUGUGAUGAUGGUUUUCUUUUUCUGGGUACUGUUUUGUUUAAUGUUGCAUGACACUUUGGAAAUUACGAGAUGAUCAUUGAGGUUUUUUGGUUUGCUACGUUUGGUGGGUUUGCAUGGUAUUUGGAAGGUGGAAGAUGAGGAAUAAAAGGGAAUGGGAAGGGGUGGAGGAUAUAGAGAGGGAAUAGAAGCCAUGAUAUUAUUCGUUUGUUAUUCGAUCUUCUUUUGGCUCAUAAUGAUGAUAUCUACCAUCUUGCCCUUUUAUAGUAAUGAUCUUCCUUUGGCUUAUGAUUAAAAUUGAUCAAGUAAUGAUCCUUAUUAGUGUGUAUACAGUAUUUAAUUUGCACUGGCUCAUUGUUCCUUUUUAAGUUAUUUUUUCUGAUUGAGUGGUAAUCCCUAAGCAGAUUUUUCACAUAUGGAUUAAUUUGAUCCGUAUGAAAUACAGAUGAAAUUAAUCUAUAAGUAUGAAAUUCAUUUGUAUAAAACAUACGGAUCAAGUUGAUCUGUAUGAUUUAUAUAGAUGAAGUUUAUCCGUAUAAAAUAUACGGAUCAAUUUCAUCUGUAUGGUUUAUACGAAUGAAGUUUAUUCGUAUAAAACAUACGGAUAAACUUCAUCUGUUUAAACCAUACGGAUGAAGUUCAUCUUUAUUAAUUUUUUGGUUUUUUUUUUAAUUUCUUAAAGUUUUAUUUUUUAAAUUAUUAAUAUGUUAAAUUACUCAUUUGUGUAUUAAAUUUUUUUUACUAUUACAAAAUUUAAUAUAUAUUAAAUUUUGUAAUAGUAAAUAUUUUUUAUUUAUAAAAAAAUAUACGGAUUAAAUAAUUUGUAUGAUUUAUAUCAAAAUUAAUUGUCAUAAAAUUUAUUAUUUAAAUUUACAUGCACAUUAAAUAUAUAUUAAAAAUUUUAGUGUUAUGUAUAACAAUAUUAUUUAUUUUAUAAUGUAAUUAGUUCAUUAGUUCAAUUGGUUAAAGUAUUGUGUUAAUAACUUGAAAGUCACAAGUUUUAUUCUUAUUUUGAUCAUUAAUUUUAAAUUAAUUCAUCACAAAUAUUUUUCAAAAAAUGGAAUUAAAUAAGUAACCACUUUAAUAUCCUGUAUAAAAAUAUAAUAAAAAAAGUAGCCACUUAAUAGAAGGGACGUGAAACAUCCUAACCUUCUCAAUCUCAAUUUCUCUCCGCCCUUCCAAAACCUCUUACCUCUUCAUUAAAAAAUUUCAUCCUGAAAUACUAGUGCUUCUUUUUAAUUAAGAAUUAGGCAUAUACAAAGUAAUUCCUUUUCUUAAACAAUUUGUCAGAUGAUUUAAUUUGUAUUUAUGCAGUUUUAUGAUAACCUUAUCAUCUUAUUAAUUUCUUUUAUAGUAUGAAGUAUGAUUCUAUGGCAAAAUGAACUUUUGUUUAGAUAGUGUUAACCAAAACCACUUUUAAGGUAUAAAUAAAUAUUAUUGAAAUGAUAUAUAAUAUUAAGUUAUGAAAACACACACACACACACAUAUAUAUAUAUAUAUAUAUAUAUAUAUAUAUAUAUAUAUCUCAAGUGGGCAUUUUGGUUAUUUAUAUGAAAUUUGUUGGACAGUAAAAAAAAAAUAUAAGAAAUUCGUUAUACACGUUACGAGAAAAAAAUGAAAAAAAUAAAUAUUCUACUUUGGAUCAAACCAUUUGUUAAUUACUAUGCCAACAACAAACGAAACAUACAAUAAAAAUUUUCUUUGGCAAUAAAACAACAAAUAUUACUUUUGCCAUUGAGUAAUGGAAACGUGAUUUAUUUAUUUUUCUCUUAAAUUGCUAAACAUGGUGAUAUGAAUUUAAACUCAUUUGCAUGUUGGAAACACCUAGCCAAGCAUGCAAUAAUUAAGUAGUAAUUUGCCAGUGACAUAUUUUCACUCCUCCUUCUCAAACUCUAUCUUGAUGCUCUGAAUUGUGAUGGUUACAUUCUCAGAUCGUGGUACCAAUGUCACCAAAAUACUAUCAUCAUUUUCGGCAUCCAAGUCCUCUAACAAAUCCGUUAUUCCCAAUGUCAAACUAGUUUUGAUCUUCUUGUCCAUGUUCAUGUUUGAAUGGGAAUGACCCAGAGUCGCAAAGCUUCCAGCAAACUCCGUGUUCUCUGGUCCAAUCUCCUCGACAUCUUCAUCAGUAAUAUAUACAUCAAACUUGACAUCAUUAUCCCCAUCAAACUCGAUCCCAUCAAUCACCAACACUUCUUCCUGUUCCUCCUUGUCCUUCUUGCUCCUCAACUGCUUUGGCCUUUUAACAAGUAGAGUUACCUUUGAGUCCAAUAAAGUGAGAGGAAACUUGGAACUUGGGCCAGUCUCAGCAGCCAUUGCUUCACGAAUGCCGCCAAACUGUUGUGUGAACGCCACUUGCUUAGCUUUUCUAGUUCUUUUGGGUUUAGUCCUUUUCUGGAGCCAUGGAAUGUCAACAUCUUGGUAAACAUACCCCAUCUUUUUCAAGUCAAGGGAAUCUUUCACUUUCACACUCACAAGGUUCUUGUUCUCAUCGUAGAAGAAAAAGGUGGUUUCCAACCAAUCACGGUUUUUGAAAUCCCUUCUUUUUCUAGUUGGUAUUUUUUUCCAUAUGUUCCACAUCCUAUCGACGUUGGCAUGGUGAGAAUAGAAAAUGGGGUCUCUUGCAGCAGAAUAGAAUCUCCCCAUGUCCUCUUUGUUAGGCUGUCUUGGAUCACCGGUCCAACGGUGGAGAGCAGUAUGAGGACCAAGCUCUACAGUCCCUCCACCGAGUUCAGGCUGCUUUCCAGCAAAGAAAGUUUUUCCAUGGAAGAGCGAUGCGCGUUUCGCACCAAAGACAAUGUUAGGUACAGGAAGGGGAAGAUUCGUGAGAGAGAAGAUGAUGGUUGCCUUGAUUCGAGGUUAAGGUUCCUCCUGAAGGAACUAGCUUUUAUUGAAAGGAUAUAUUUGCCUUACUCGUACCACUUUCAGGCUUUUAUACAUGCUACAAUGGUUACAACGAACAUCUAACGGCCCUAACUACCAAGCUGGAGUAGUUACAACUAACUAACAGAAAGCUAGCGUAUACAUGCAAGGGUUUCUAUACGUAACUUUCUAAGUAUCGGGGUCUCGUGGUAGCUUUUCGUGGUCGUGCUUCGUUGCUACUGGUAUCAUUGUUGUUAACGUUCCUAACAAUAUCCUCCCCUGGGAAAGUCACCUUGUCCUCAAGGUGAUGGGAGUCGUGGAUAUCAGCCCAAUCUUCCCACGUUGACUCUUCUGGUGCCAUCCCUUUCCAUUGUACCAGUACAAGUUUCCUGGGUGGUUGACUUGAAGUGUCCAUGCGCAAAUCCAGAACAGCUAAGGGUUCUAAGAUAGGAUUAUUGUGAGUUGCAGCUGGAGGAAGUGGGGUUGCUUGUAAGUCGUGUGGGCCAUGGUGAGACCGGAGCAAUGAACAGUGGAAGACAGGAUGGAUUUGACAUCCUUCAGGUAAUUGUAGACGAUAUGCAACGUUGCCGACGCGUUCUAGCACUCGAAAAGGUCCAAAGUAUCGUUUAGCAAGCUUGUUGGAGGUCUGAGUUCGUAGUGAACAUUGCCGAUAAGGUCGAAGCUUCACAUAUACCAGCUGAUCGACCUCGUAUUGAGCCUCGCAACGCGAUCUAUCGGCGUAGUGCUUCAUGGUGUCUUGUGCCUUGAGUAACUUGCGUCUGAGGGUGGCGUAGAUUUCUUCCCUCGUGGUGAGCAUGGCAUCAACUGCUUCGUUGUGGGAAGAACCUCGAAGGUAGUUGUGAAUCGAAGGAGGAGGUUUUCCAUAGACUACCUCAUAAGGGGUAAGCCCAGUGCCCGAGUGUUGCGAGGUAUUAUACGACCAUUCCAUCAAGGGUAAGAACUGGUACCAAGCUGUGGGUUGUUGAUGAACAAAGGCGCGUAGAUAUGUUUCGAGUGUGCAGUUUAGGACCUCUGUCUGACCAUCCGUUUGUGGAUGGUAGGCAGUACUCAUUCGAAGAGUGGUGCCACUCAUUCUGAACAAUUCUCUCCAAAAUGAGCUGAGGAAGACUAGAUCUCGGUCUGAGAUGAUACUUCGAGGAAAGCCAUGCAGGGUAGGGCGUCGUAACUGCAUUGAGAGCUCGGUAGUCAACACACAUGCGCCACGAUCCAUCUUUCUUCUUCACCAGUAAUACCGGAGAGGAAAAGGGGCUUUGACUUGGCCGUAUGAGCCCGAAAUUCAACAAUUCCGAUACUUGCUUCUCGAUUUCCGUCUUCUGAAAGUUUGGAUACCUGUAGGGCCUGACAUUCACGGGGUUGGUCACAGGGAGGAGGUUGAUAUGGUGGUCGUGGUGUCUAGGGGGAGGUAAUUCUGAAGGGGUGUGAAAGAUGGAGUGGUAGCGGAGUAGAAGCUUGUUAAUGGCAGGUAUGGGAUGUGGGGGGUCUGUGGUUGAUUCGAGUUGGUUCACAGGUAAGAGUGAAAUGUGGAAUAAGCCAGAAGUGGAGUUGGUGGAGAUCAUUUGUCUAACCUGGGUAGCAGAUGCUGGAGAGUUAUCGACAUAAACAUCGGCAUGAAGGUUGACUGGUUGAUCUUUGUAGACGAACUGCAUGGUAAAUGAUGAAUAGUCAUUGGUUAUGGGCCCUAAGGUACAAAGCCAUUCCACUUCGAGCACAAUAUCCGCCCCACUCAAUGGCAGCACCCGUAACGUGACCGUAAAGGUAUGCCCCUGCAUGAGAACUUGUGUAUCGGAGCACAGCUGGUGGCAUUGUAACACGGAACCAUUGCCCACCAUAACUCUGAGGGUUGUUGUCUCCUUCACAGGUAAGCUCAGGAAUUUUGCAACACGAGGUUGAACGAAAUUGUAAGUGCUUCCGCUGUCGACCAAUAUGGUGACGCGAGCACUGUUGAUCAACCCAUAUAAGCGAAAAGUGUCAGAGGCAAGGACACCAGCCAAUGCAUGAAGGCUAAUAUGGGGGUGGGGUGCGUUCGGGUCAAGAAAUGGGUUGGUUUCGUCCGGGGUGGGGUUAGGUUCAGUUGCUGGGAAGUGUGGGUAGUCUGUUGAGGGAGGUUCAGAUGUGGCGGGUUCAUCAAGGUCCGCGAUGAGGAGCAAGACUCGACCCUUGCAUCUAUGUGAUGAACUCCACUUUUCAUCACAAUUGUAACAUAGACCCAUUUCUCUUCUAAAUGUCAUUUCUUCCUGGAUUCUUUUGAUAAAUGGGGCCUUGGGUCGUGGUGCGAGAUGGGUGGGUGUGUGAGGUACAGGUGGGUUUGGUGGCGGAGAAGGCCCAAACGAGGCCUUGGAAGUGUGCUUCUUUCGAUCCAAUAGCUUGUCUUCCUACAGACAAGCGAGGGUUGUAGCUUGUGGUAAUGAAAUAGGCUAGAAGGCCUGCACUUCACGGCGGAUUUUCGGGUUGAGACCGGAGAUGAAACAGCUAAGCAAGACGGAGGGGGAGAGACCUGUGAUACGGUUGGCGAGUCUCUCAAACUCGAUGAGGUAGUCUGUCAAAGACCCGCGUUGAACAAGCUUGAACAAGGUUCCUCGUGGAUCAUCGUAGAACGAAGGUGCAAACCUUGCUUCGAUUGCUUGGAGAAGGGCUGGCCAAGACGUAAUGAAACCAUUCCUGAACAUCCAUUGAAACCAGCUGAGAACCGGUCUGUCGAGAUAAAAGGAGGCCACCAUGAUUCGAUCUUCCUCCGGGGUUCCCUGGUAGUCGAAGAAUUGUGAUACUUUGAAGAUCCAUCCUAGAGGAUUGUGGCCGUCAAAGCGGGGCACGUCGAGCUUGACGGGUGGCCGUGGAUGUGGAGAAGGUUGGGAAGGUGCUGGUGAGGCAGAGGUGAGGUGUGAGAGACGCUCGCACCAUGCUUCUAACUUAUUGGCCAAGUCGGAGUGUCUCUCGGAGAGGGCUGCUAUGGCUUCUUCAAGGCGGUCUGUGGUUGUGCGACGAGUGCCGUGCUCCGCCAUAGUAGCAGGUCGGACCAGUGUUAGGUACGGGAAGGGGAAGAUUCGUGAGAGAGAAGAUGAUGGUUGCCUUGAUUCGAUGUCAAGGUUCCUCCUGAAGGAACUAGCUUUUAUUGAAAGGAUAUAUCUGCCUUACUCGUAUCACUUUCAGGCUUUUAUACAUGCUACAAUGGCUACAACGAACAUCUAACGGCCCUAACUACCAAGUUGGAGUAGUUACAACUAACUAACAGAAAGCUAACGUAUACAUGCAAGGGUUUCUAUACGUAACUUUCUAAGUAUCAGGGUCUCAUGGUAGCUCUUUGUGGUCGUGCUUCGUUGCUACCGGUAUCAUUGUUGUUAACGUUCCUAACAGACAACACUCGUAUACAUUACACCAAGGUUUUGUUCUACACUUGGUUCCUUGCCACUGCCAUAGUUUAGGUCUACGAGAGUAUCAACUGUGAUGUCUGGAUUCCUGCGAGGGUCAUAAAGAGGGGAGUCUUCAUCUCUGUAAAUGGGAGGGAUUACCAUGCCGCCAUCAGGGUUGUCCCAGUUCCAAUAUGGAAGAGCGAAGGUUGGAUCAUCAAUCAAGCUCCCCAAGAUUCUCUCAUAGAAAUAGAGGUACCAACGGUGGAAAGGGAAGAACAGCCAAGAAAAGUGAACUUUGAAGUCUAGCUCAGUUGGGAACCCUAAUUGUUUAUAGCCACCAUCACAGUAAGCACAAUGGAUAUCAGCUUGUUGCUUGAACUUCGAGGAUCAUCAGAUGGAAGCUCUCUCAUGCGCUUAAGGGCUAACUUAUACUUUUCUAGGUACUCAUCAGUGACGAAUUGAGCAGGUGGUCUAACCCUAAGGGGUGUUCCUUUAGGCAACUUGAAAUCUAUUGAAGGGGAAGAAGAUCUUGGUGGGCAACAAUAGACUUGUGCCUCGAUGACCCCUUUAGGUGGUACAUCAUCAGUUAUACAACAAUGUUCUAGGUCAGGUUGGAGAAUAGGAGCUGCAGCCAUGGCUAAAGGGUUGGUGUUGCUAAGAGCAGAUGCACCGUAAAGGCCCCCAAUGCCAAGGAGAACAUCCCUUCUAUAUUUUCCUAGAAUGUUGUAUGAUGGUCUUUCUUCUUUUGGGUUUGGUGUUGGGGUGUUUUGGUUACUGUUGCAUGUCACUUUGGAAAAGUGGUGGCGUUUUGGUUUGCUACGUUUGGUGGGUUUGCAUGGUAUUUGGGAAGUUAGGAAGGUGGAAGAUGAAGAACAAAUGGAAAUGGGAAGAGGUGCAGAGAAAUUGAAGAGGGAGAAAGAGGAUAGACAGGAUAUAGAAGCCAUGAUCGAUCUUCUAUUGGCUCAUAAUGAUCGAUCUACAAUCUUUGCCCUUUUAUAGUGAAGUUAUAUGAAGACUGUCCUUUAUAAAUAAAUAAUGACAUUAACAUUCGGCAAAUUGGGAUUGAAAAAUUUCUUUAAAAUUUAAUUUAGAUUCUUUUUCAAAAAAUAUGAAAAUGUCCUUGAUUGAUUCACCAAAAUUGUGGCUGAAGAAAAUGUCGUGGGUCUGAAGAUAAUGUGGUAAAUAUAAUGGAACACUGAUUAUUUCAUUUGAUCCCUACUACGUACGAACCAAUUAAUUUCAUGCAAAUCUUUUCAAUAAUCUUCUAAAGAAUUAUGGUGCUUUAAAUGGUAACAAUGUGUCGUUUACUUUUAGGGUGACUUUAAUACAUAAAAUUAUAAAGUAAAACAAAUUGGUAUGAAUUUCAUCAUUUUAUUCUUUUUAAUUUUUAUUGUUUCACUCCUAUAAUAAUACCGAACACAGAGAAUAAAUUAGUGAUACAAACUCAUACCUUGACUUAGAAACUAGGGUUACGAAUUUCAUAAAAGUUUAUAAUAUUUCUUUUGUAAAAAUAUUAUAUAACUUUUUUCUUGUCCCCACUAAAUAAGCUUUUGGGAGUUUGUCCCCAUUAAUGUUAUAUAUUGCACCUUUGCUAACUACUAUGGAUUUUACAUGUCUCCCCUUUUUUCCUGCGAGCUAGGCUAUAUAUUGAGCAAUGAUGUAUUGUUAAAACAAAUGUCUAGUCUGAUCCUCAAAGCCUGAAGCGACUUCCAAUAUAUAUGCAUGGAUCUUGUUGCUGCAAUUUGGAUUCAAAUGUUUUUGCGUUAGGUCUUAACCAAGUUAUUUGUUAGAUCUCAAUCAAGAGAAGGUAGCUAUUUUGAAGGUUUAGAUCUUCUACAGUUAUAUUUUUAUUGUACAAGAUUUUUUUAAUAGACAAAUAAAAUAUAUAUUAUAUAAAUAGAAGAAUUCUGGCAGGAUCAUGAAUAAUUCCCCCACGACCCCACUAGACCCUUAAUUAACGGCAUUGGGAAAGAUUUUAGUCAUAGAAAUUAUUUAAUUUAAUUUAUUUUAUAAAACAAAUGUUUUAAAUAUAAAGUUUAAUGAUAUUAAUUUUAUACUGUUAUUUAAUUAUAAAUCCACAUUUUUUUAAGUUUAUGUUUAAAAUCAUGAAUAAAUGAGAUAAAUUUAAUUUAUUCUUGGAUGUUAAAUUUUAAUGAAGAGAAUUCAUUAUUCGUAUUUCACUCCCUACUUUGGAAAUGAGUGAUGAUGGAAGAGAACAGGUGGGUUGGAGAUAUUGUUUCUUGGUUUUGCGUGUAACAUGUUCCCACUUCUCUCCUCUGGCCUUACUUCUGAUCAAUGCUGUGCUUUGUUACAGGUUACACGAUUAUAUAUAGAUGUAAGACCUUUUUUUUUUGUUACAAGAGUGAAUAAAGACAGAAAGGACAAAGGAUAGAAACUAAAAGCAAAAGCAGCAAGUCUCCGCGAGGGAAGCAAGUUCCCAUCUCAUCCUCCCUGAUCGAGUCAUUAGGUAACUCAACGGAUUGAUGAAACAUUGAUGAUAAGUCUUAUCAAAUAAAAAUUAUUUUUAGAUAUUCUAUUAUAUGAAAAACUUAUAUGAUAAUUAUUUUGGUUAAAUAAUAAUUAUUUUUAAACAUUUCAUUAUUCACAUAAAAAAUUACAUUAUUUAUAAUCGUCACAUAUUUAUUAUUAUAAGUAUAUAAUUAUUCUAUCAAAUUGUGUCUUUCUUUGGAUUGAACACAAUUCACAUAAAUAAUUUCAUGCAAUAUUCAUGUAAAUUAAAUCAAAUUAACUUAGAGAUUAUUUUUUCUUCAAUCAAUUUGAUCCAAAAAUACAAAAUAAUUUAAUAUAAUAAAUAGGAAGUCUUAAAAUUACACAAUUUUCACAUAUAAUUUAAUUAUAUAAAAAUAUAUAUAACAGAACAUGCAAGUAUAUAUAACAAAACUUAGCACAACAUUAAUUCCUAGAAAAAUUAAUUUAUAAUUAUUACUAUCAACGCAAUGAUCCAAUAUUGACAAUAAUGGUCAAAUAAUAGUGUUUCUUUGGACCAACUAUUAUUCACACGUAAACAUCUUAUAAUUGUCACACAUUUAUCAUCUAGGUAUAAAAUAUUAUUUGGUCAAAUUGCAUCUUCCUUUGGGCCGAACACAAUUCGCAUAAAUAAUGUUAUACAAAAAUCUAUCUAAUUUUAAUCAAAUCAAUUUUCACAAUAGAGAUUACUUUAAAAAUAUAUCGUGUCAAUCAAUUUAAUUAAAAAAAUCAGUAGAUAUGCAAAUAAAUGGAAAAGGAUGUGUUAAUGCUAAAUUAACUCCAAUCAUGUAGCAAAAAAAUAUAAAACAUUAAUUACGGUAAGUAAAUAUCAUAUUCUUAAACUAUAUUUAAUGUUAUCAUUGAUUUAUACUUAAAAUAUCCCAAGUAAAUAUUGCAUUUUUUAUUUUUUUUGCUGAGAGCAUCCUUAGUUUUCUUUUUUUUAUUAUGAGAGGUCAAACUUAAAUGAACACUUUUAGAUAUGUCUCACUACAACUUAUCUUCCUCUUGCACACACUGAGAUAUAAGCUCAUUAAUGAAAGUGAGAUUACACACAAUGAGAUAUAAGUUCAUUAAUGGACUCAUUAGACAUUUUGUACUCUCUUAUAUAACUUUCCCUCUUCUUUACAAAAAUAAUAAUAAAUAAAUAACACAAAAAUUGCAUACGCAAAAAAAACUUCUUUAUAUAUCAUGAACAAUAAGACUUAUUUAUUGUGCGUUAACCUAAUAGGGUUCUCAUUUUCCUAUAAUGGAUCAACACUUACAUAUGUUCAUUUAAAUUCAUAUCAUCUUAUUUAUUUAGUUAGACUCACUUGAUUUGAUCACAUGAAAUAAAAUUCACUAAUCACAAAUAACUAAUAUAAUUAUCUUAUUAACCUAUAUUAAUUAUUGAAAUAAAAAAUUCCAAUAAGAGAAACGUGGGAAAAAGAAAGGGAGUAACUUGUAUUUUUCAAAUUAAAACAAAUUAAAGUAAAAUUGAAAUUAUUUAACAACCCUUCAAUUUAUGCUUAUGUAAAAUAAAAAAUGAACAUUUUUUUAGUGCAAGUGAAAAGAUGUUAAAGUGUUAAUAUACACCUUCUAAUUUUCUAUUUUUUAGUGGGUGUAUAUUAAUUAGCAUUCCCCAAAAAUAAAUACCUUAUAUACUCACUUAAAACUCAAUAUAAAUAAAAAAGUUAAUAAAUUGGAAAUAUUUAUUUUAUACUAAUAAAUUUAAUAUUUAUCUUACAAUAAACUUACAAUAUAAAUUAAAGAAAUAUCAUUUUAAAAUAAAAAAUAUUUUUCUCCAAGUUUUACAAGUUACAAACAAUAUUUCAUCUCUACUAAAAACAACAAUAAUUCAUACGAACUGCAUGUUACUAUAUUGCAAGUGCAACUGAGAGAAAAACUAAAGAAUAUAUGACAGCAAAAGUUUCAAUUUGAACGGAAGAGAUUUUUGUGAGAUUCACGUAAUAUUUUUUUUUUCUUUUCUCUUUUCACUCCCUUUCCUCCAAAGAGUAGAAACCGACGUUUUCCCCUCAACUCUCAAGUACAGGAACAGAUUUUAUCAAAUUUUGAACUAAGUAUUUAUAAUUUAACAUUUUUAAUUCAACUUUUAAGAAUUUAAAAUGUUGUAACUAUAAAUCCUUAAAAAACAUAUAAAGUUAUUGCACCUUUGUUACUAACUAAGUACUAUGGAAUUCACUAUUUUCACUCUUUAGUUUGGAAGAGACAGGUGAUGGGGAGAGAACACGUGGGUGUGUUUCAUGCUUUUGCUUAUAGCUACUGGUCAAUGCUUUUGUUUCAGGUUACAGCAUUAUCAAUUGAUGUUAGUCUAAACCCACCGGCCUGUUUCUUACAGCAGAGGGAGAUAAUGGAGUAGAUAAAAAUAAUGAAAUUGUCUGUUACAGCAGAUUCAUUACAGAAAUAAAUUUAAAAUUAUUGGGCUUGUUUCUAUUGCUUACUCUCGACUGAAGUAAAAGAACACACACAUAUAUAUAUAUAUAUAUAUAUAUAUAUAUAUAUAUAUAUAUAUAUAUAUAUAUAUAAAUUUAAUUAAUUUCACUUUUACUUAAUGACAUUAUUUUUAAAAUAUUUUUUUAUUUAAUUAUAAUUUUAUUUUAUUCAUGAUAUUAAAUUUGAAUAAAUGAUAUUUUUGACAUUAUUAUUAUUAAAUGAUUUUAAUUAACCUUUUUAAUUAGUAUAAAAAUAUUUAAUUUUACUUAUAUAUGAUUAUAAAGGAAUUAUUAUAUUUUUAUUUAUUUUUAUUCAUCUUUCUCUCUCUAUUUAUUUUUUCUUUAUUUUACUUCAAUCAAACAUUUAUUUCUCAUUUAUUUGUAUUUUUUAUUUUUUUUAUUUUUAUCUAUUCUAUUUCUCUCUUCUCUACCAAACAUAACAACAAAGCUACAAUUUUCAUAUUUAUUUAAAUAAUACAAUUUUCAUAGUUAAAUGAUAUAUAUUUCAGAAUAAAUAUUUUUAAGAAUAUGAAUUUUGUGAAAAAGAAGACAAAAAUGAAAGAAAAUAAAAUUUACUCAGCCAACAAUCUUUAAAAAUAUGUGUUAGUUUUAAAUAUUUAAUUAUAUUUUUAAAAAAUAUAAAAGCUGUAAAAAAAUAUUCAAAACACCAUAAUUGAAAACUUGAUAACAUUAUAAAAAUUUAUAGGUCAAUUUAAUUAUAAAAAAAAUAUUUGAUAAAGGGAAUGUGUCCUGAUUAAAUGUGAGAGACUAAGAAUAAGUGGAUAUUUUGAUUUUAGAAGUUUUCCAAUAUCUUCCAUUUCAAAAACAAAAAAAAAAAGUUUCCAAUAUCUUCAUUCUCAUGAAAAUGUUAAUACGCUUUUUAUUGAGAUAUAGCUAUGGGUAUUUUUUUUAUUCAAAGUAAUUUUAUUUGAGUAAAGUAAAAUUAUUAUAAGAUAAGUUUUAUUCCUUCUAAAUUUAAAUAUAAGUAUAAAAAAAAGGUCCAACUUUGAAAGACUAAAAUAUGAGUAAAUUUUAACUAUUUCAAUCCUAUUUAAGGUUACUAGUCCAAAAGUACCUUUAAGUUUAAAUUUCAGCAUAAUCUUCAAUAAAUACGAUUAAUUAGAGUAGAUUUAGAAAUGUAGUUUUUCUGUAAAAUUAAAAAAAUUAAAUAAACAUAAUUAAUUUCUUAAUCAAUGUGAAGUCAUGUAUUUUUUUUCUUAUAUUUGACUUCAAACUUCUUUAUCAGAGUAAAAUUUAUCUUUCAAAUAUUAAUAUUUAACAUAGUUGAAAUUAAGACUCAAAUUCAAAACUAUCAAUUAAAUUAAAAGGAUUUAAUAUGUCGUUAGUCAAAAUGAUAAUGAAUUUAAAUUCUUAGUCUAACAUAAAGUUCAGGAUCAUCAAUCAUUAAAUACUUUCUAAUAAUAAUAAAGUAAAAAAUAAAAAAUUAAGAGAAUCUUGUACCCAAGAGCAGAUGAUCAACGAUUAACUUUUGGGGCACUUCCUAUUCUUUUUUUCAUAUAUAUAUAAAAGUAAUUAUUUUUAUUUAGAGGUUUAAUUGUGUAAAUAAUGUCAAAGGUUGUUAUAAUGUACUUUUAAUGUUGUAAUCACUUUUUUGUUCACCAUAAUAUUGGUGUCAAGUAUUGAUAGCUUAAAUUACUUGUAUAAACCAAUGUUGGUUUUUAAAGGUUGUCAUUGUCAACACAACAUUUUUCUUCUUCUAUUUUCUAACUAUUUGAAAGGAAAUUAUUUUUCAGCAUUGUUGGUUAUUAUUGUUGUAAAAGAUAAUUUAGUGAAUAGCAUAAUCUUUAUAAUUUAUUAAGCAAUACAUUUUUUGAACAUAAUAUGAUUUUAAUUUUAUAAAAAUAUAUGCUUACCAGAUAUAUCAAUUUUUAUUAUAAAUUCAUUAGGAUUCAUGGUGGCGCGUGAAGUUAGUGAUUAAUUGUUAUUUAUAAUUUUGGGUCUUUAAAAAAAUAUUUAAUUUAUCUUCUUUGUAAAUAUAUUCUUUAUUUUAUAUGUUUAGAUUAUUUUAAAAAUAUGUAAUUAUAAAUACAUAGUAUAAAUUUUGAUGUUAAUUAAUAUAUUUAUUAAAUGAAUUUUAAUUUUCAUAUUUAUGCCUCAGUUGUUAAAUUCUGGGUCCACCCUGCUUGUACCAAUUGAUACACAUUCAAUGAUAACAUUUUUACGUACGCUUUAACAAUCAGUAAUUCUUUAUUAAACAAAAAAAAAUCAUUGAUUAUCCCAAAAGAAAAAAAAAAUCCGUAUGUUGAAAGAUUAAUGAAUAUCUGUUUACAGAAGUUUUUAACAAUAUCUUCAUUUUCUUGAAGACGGCAGUAUGCUUUAAUAAUUAGUGAUUAAUACAUUUACAUAUUAUUCUUACUUGAAAUAUAAAUACAACAAUUGUGAGUCCCGGAAUGCAAUUCACAUAAACUUAUUAUUAUAAAAAAAAUAUAACAAUUUUUCCAUUUUUCAAAUCAAAUAGAAGACGUGGUUAAAUAUUAAUUAGAAAUUUUAUAAUUAAAUGGAAUAUGUAGUUAAAUAUUAACCAUUAAUUACUAGAUCACUCCUUUCAUAAAAGAAAGUGAGUUGAUAGCAUAAAUGGGAGAAUAAAGUCAUGAAGCUUUAGAUGGAACAUAUUUGUUACUCAAUUUGUGUCUUUUCUUUUAACAAAAUUCUUAUUGAAUAUUUUUAAGUUUAUAUUUUUAUUUAGUAAAUAUGUGUUUAUUCUAAAAAUAAAGAUGAAUUGAGAGUAAAACAUAGAAUUUUGAUGAAUGAAAUGAUUAAAAAAUUGAGACAGUGGUCACUUAUUGAAAAUAUAAUUAUUAAAAAUUUAAAUUGAUUAAGUGCUAUAUAUAAAUUAGUCUUGAAUAAAAUUAUAAUUCUCCAUGUAAAUGAGUUGAACAAAAUUAUAAUCUCUAUAAAUAUAUUUUAAUGUCAAACUUACCAAAAUUUAAACUAAACGUUAAAUAAAUUUAAAUUUUAAACUUAAAUUAAUUUAUUUAAUUAAAAAAUAAGUUUAACUAAAAAUUUAAUAAAUUAAAUACAAAAAGUACACAAAUACCUUAAUAUCAACUCAAUCAUAAUAAUUACAAGUAUACUUUUUUUAUUCCUACAGGCUACAUGUAUAGCAACAUAUCUAAAUGCACAAAAAAUAAUACGUGGCCCCAUUGGUAGUUACUCACAUUUUUCACAUUUACAAGUGUGGUGGAAUCAGUAUCAAUGGUCGCCUCUGAUUUGGAUUUUUGUUACCUAAUUUAGCAGUACCAUAUAAUUUCGCGAGCAAAAGUAAAUUUUGAUGUACAAAUCAAUAAAGGAAAGUUGCAAGUGUGAUCCAAUAAUUAUCAAUAUUGUCCACGUCGAAAGUGUUAUCCAAUACAUAUCAAUAAUGGCAACUUUAAUUUAAAGUUGUGAUCCGAUAAAUAUAGUCCUGUAUUUGUAUGUGUUUUUUUAUCAACAAAAAUUAAUUUAUUAGUUUGAUUAGAAAUACAAAAAUUAAUUUAUUAGUUUAUUAGAAAUAUCAGGGAAAGAAAUUCGAAGAAAUAACUUCUUUUUUCCCUCUUCUUCCUUUAUCAUAAGUUCACUUUUCAGUCACUAGUUCAAUCUUACAUCUCUCCCUAAACUUCAUGAAAUAUGGUAACAGAUGUUGUAGUUUUUUUUAUCCGUACGAAGAUACUUAAUUUCAACAAAGACCAGUGUGGUAAUAAUAAAGUUAAUUGGCAAGAAAUUUCAUUCAUGAUAGAUUAGAGGUGGGGGACAGUGAGUACAAUUAGAUGGUCUCGUAAGUGAAGCUUAAUUAAUUGAAGAGAGCCUUAAUUUAUGUUCCCAAAAGGAAGAAGAGUUCAAAUGAUAAUAGAAGUUGUUUAAUGUCCUCCAUCUGUAUCCUCAAUCAGGUAUAUAGAUGGAAACAUCAUUAAUCUUUACUCUUACCCUACUAGCAAAUACAUGGAUAUUUGCUUAUGCUUUGCCUAGAAGUCUAGCUAGUCAUACAAUUUUAAGAACCAAACCAAACUGAAUAUGGUGUGUUGAAUAUUAUUAUAUAUGCUGAACCAAAGAAACCCUCAACCACCUGAAGACACUAUUCCAAAUUAAACAUGAAAUGAAAAAUAAAUAAAUAUCCAGGAAUAGAUGAGAAAAUGUGUGCCUUGGCAGUGCACUAGUGAAUUAGCAUAACUUGAGUUGUCAUUUUUUGAGAUUUUUUAAGGUAUACUUUGAUUUUUUAUGAUUAUUUUAAGUAUAAAAGUUUGCAGGUUAUGAAUUCUUUAUAUUUUUUUUAAUAUAAGGCAGGUAAUGUACAUCAAUAAUAACUUAUUGGAUCAACCUCUAUUUACCUGAUAACAUUAAUUUGGAGUGUCUAAUUAUAUUUAUCAAAAAUCUAUACCCUUUUCUUUUUUUUUCAGCAAAACAAAAUACUUUAUAAAUAUAUGAUGGGCAUAAGAAAUACCGUACAGUAACCUGUGAUGGUUAAUUAGUUAAUAUUUAUGAUAUGAACCAGAAAUAUUUAAUAACCAUCAAUACCUCCCAGUAAACUACACACCCACAACCAAUCAAGAAAGCAAACUCCCCUUUUCUUAUUUAAACCUGAGCUAUAAAAAAAUGAAUUGGAAAAAAUACGGGUAUAAAUAUUGAGGCAUUGGCAUAACAUACCAAUCUAACUAAAAGUAUGAUACCACGACCUAGCCAGAGGCAAAACUGCAGUGAACAUACAAGUGUAUGUAUAGUUGUAGAAUCAUCAAGAGAAGUGAACAUAUUCACUAACAUGGGUGGCAAAGCAUUUCUUCGAACCAAAUUAUCUUUCGUUGGUUAACUAAUAGUUAAACUAUUCUUUUCAAUUAAUAUAUAUUAAUUAAAAGGAGAUUAGGGGUUAUAUUGCAUUAUAAACAAAUGUAACAAUAAAACAAACAAUUUAACAAACAUUUAUUAUAACAAUAACAUAGUAUCCCUCAAAGAUGAAAGGGAUCUAUUAAGUUCCAAGGCAAAUAACUACACCUACAGCACACUAAUUUUUAUAUUAUUAUGUGUGACUAUUGUUAAUAUGUUGCUCAACGGAAAUCAGAAGUAUCUCCAAUAUUCCACACACCAAGAAAAAAUGGUUUUUAGAGCCAGAAGAUUUCUAAUUUUACAAAGUGAGUCCUUAAUCAGUUAGUGACCAAAUAUGAGACCAAUUUUAGCAAGUAGCUAAAGUUUUAGUCGCUGAUUGUUGAUUCCAAUUUAGACACUGAUUUAAAAACCGAUUAGAUGACUGGUUUUUUUAGAUUUUUUUUUGUUAUCACAUGUGUACAUAACCUAAGCCUUCACCAAAUAGCUUAAGUUUUCUUUGGAGUUUGAAAUUUCCAAUCUAGAUCUCCAUUAAAACGUGAAAUAAAACCCUCAAAUCUAGAUCAAUAUUUAAAUAGCAUGCCAAACCCAUAUGUGUAGUGUUAGGCAAAAAAAAUCAAAUUGUGCCAAAAUUAAUAAUGAGACAAUUCAAACCCUUUAGUCCUUGGAAACUCACAUUACUUUAGAACCUUUAGGUGGAGAUAGAUAACUUAAAUUUUUCACGACUCACAAUUAAAAUACCUACUAAUACAAAUGUCAUGAGUAGGGAUGCUAAGAAUAUGCAUACUUGCAAGUAUUUGUUCUCAUCUUGAAGAAAAAUACACAUUUUGGUCGAAUAUCAAUAUGAAUAUUACUCGUCAUUGGUGUAGGUAACUAUAAAGAUGAAAGUUGUGAUGAUAAAAGUGAUAAUAAUUGUAAUAGUUAGGGAUGAAUCUUUAUUCGGACAUAUGGGGACAUGGUCAUCUAACCAAUGGCCCAAUAUAUUAAAUAAUUUUAAUAGUACAUUUUUUCACCUCAUUUUCUCUCUCAAACUUACUAUAAAAGACAAUAAUAUCUCAGAAGAGAAAUACGCAAAUGAUUAACCAUGGCUUCUUCUACAUCACAUCCAUCCUUUUGGUCCCUCCUGAACCUGUCUGCAUCCAUUCCCAUUUCUUCUUCCGUAUGCAUGUUCCCACCGUCUAAAAAACCUAGCAAAGCAACAAAACGGCGUCAUGCUUGGGAAGUAGCAUGCAAUGGUAACCCUAGAAAUAGGAGGGACAUUCUGAUCGGCCUUGGAGGACUCUAUGGUGCUACAACAAGUCUCACAAGUAACAACACUGGUUCUGCAUUUGGUGCUUCAUUGUCGCCUCCAGAUCCAACUAACUGCGUUCAACCGGACCCAGAAAAAGACCCUUUUUGCCCACCACCCCCCUUCAAAGACUACGAGCUCCCUCCACACGAUGACAAGACAUUACCCCUUCGAAUUAGACCAGCUGCUCAUUUGGUCACUGAUGAUUACAUAGCCAAGUACGAGGAAGCCGUGAGGCGCAUGCAAGACCUUCCACCUGAUGAUCCUCG
This 43629-nucleotide long non-coding RNA is filed under the name Glycine max (soybean). RNAcentral describes it as "long non-coding RNA (GMAX_LNC001558)". Lineage: Eukaryota; Viridiplantae; Streptophyta; Magnoliopsida; Fabales; Fabaceae. The record is from RNAcentral.